Molecule: ribosomal RNA, 1555 nt
Filed under: Lactiplantibacillus plantarum
Lineage: Bacteria; Bacillati; Bacillota; Bacilli; Lactobacillales; Lactobacillaceae
Description: bacterial SSU rRNA
Rfam family: Bacterial small subunit ribosomal RNA
Source: RNAcentral
CCUUAAUACAUGCAAGUCGGAACGAACUUCUGGUAUUGAAUGGGGCCUGGCAUCAUGAUUUUCCAUUUGAGUGAGUGGCGAACUGGUGAGUAACACGUGGGAAACCUGCCCAGAAGCGGGGGAUAACACCUGGAAACAGAUGCUAAUACCGCAUAACAACUUGGACCGCAUGGUCCGAGCUUGAAAGAUGGUUUGGGUUAUCUCUUGGAGGUGCCCCCGCGGUUUUAUUAAAUUGGGUGGGGGGGGAUCGCCUCUGCCAUGGCAAUGAUACCUACCCGACGGGAGAUGGUCCCCAUCGGGAUUGGACCUGAGACACGGCCCAAACUCCUACGGGAGGCAGCAGUAGGGAAUCUUCCACAAUGGACGAAAGUCUGAUGGAGCAACGCCGCGUGAGUGAAGAAGGGUUUCGGCUCGUAAAACUCUGUUGUUAAAGAAGAACAUAUCUGAGAGUAACUGUUCAGGUAUUGACGGUAUUUAACCAGAAAGCCACGGCUAACUACGUGCCAGCAGCCGCGGUAAUACGUAGGUGGCAAGCGUUGUCCGGAUUUAUUGGGCGUAAAGCGAGCGCAGGCGGUUUUUUAAGUCUGAUGUGAAAGCCUUCGGCUCAACCGAAGAAGUGCAUCGGAAACUGGGAAACUUGAGUGCAGAAGAGGACAGUGGAACUCCAUGUGUAGCGGUGAAAUGCGUAGAUAUAUGGAAGAACACCAGUGGCGAAGGCGGCUGUCUGGUCUGUAACUGACGCUGAGGCUCGAAAGUAUGGGUAGCAAACAGGAUUAGAUACCCUGGUAGUCCAUACCGUAAACGAUGAAUGCUAAGUGUUGGAGGGUUUCCGCCCUUCAGUGCUGCAGCUAACGCAUUAAGCAUUCCGCCUGGGGAGUACGGCCGCAAGGCUGAAACUCAAAGGAAUUGACGGGGGCCCGCACAAGCGGUGGAGCAUGUGGUUUAAUUCGAAGCUACGCGAAGAACCUUACCAGGUCUUGACAUACUAUGCAAAUCUAAGAGAUUAGACGUUCCCUUCGGGGACAUGGAUACAGGUGGUGCAUGGUUGUCGUCAGCUCGUGUCGUGAGAUGUUGGGUUAAGUCCCGCAACGAGCGCAACCCUUAUUAUCAGUUGCCAGCAUUAAGUUGGGCACUCUGGUGAGACUGCCGGUGACAAACCGGAGGAAGGUGGGGAUGACGUCAAAUCAUCAUGCCCCUUAUGACCUGGGCUACACACGUGCUACAAUGGAUGGUACAACGAGUUGCGAACUCGCGAGAGUAAGCUAAUCUCUUAAAGCCAUUCUCAGUUCGGAUUGUAGGCUGCAACUCGCCUACAUGAAGUCGGAAUCGCUAGUAAUCGCGGAUCAGCAUGCCGCGGUGAAUACGUUCCCGGGCCUUGUACACACCGCCCGUCACACCAUGAGAGUUUGUAACACCCAAAGUCGGUGGGGUAACCUUUUAGGAACCAGCCGCCUAAGGUGGGACAGAUGAUUAGGGUGAAGUCGUAACAAGGUAGCCGUAGGAGAACCUGCGGCUGGAUCCCCCCCCUUUUCAAGCUGGAUCACCUCCUUAGAGU